UCCCGUUUAUCACCGGAUAAGUGUGAAACGUGCCUGAACCGAUUCCGUAGGUCUUAGAAGGAAUCGGCCCAGGCACGUUUUUUGC
This 85-nucleotide non-coding RNA is filed under the name unclassified sequences. The record is from RNAcentral.